UACGAGGGGGGCAAAUGUUGUUCGGAAUCACUGGGCGUAAAGGGAGCGUAGGCGGGUUUCUAAGUCAGGUGUUUAAUCCCGGGGCCCAACCCCGGACAGGCACUUGAAACGUGGGAAUCUUGAAUAGUGGAGAGGUCAGUGGAAUUGGGGGUGUAGCGGGUGGAAUGCGUAGAGAUCCCCAAGAACACCAGUUGCGAAGGCGGCUGACUGGACACAGUAUUGACGCUGAGGCUCGAAAGCAUGGGGGAGCAAAGCAGG
Molecule: ribosomal RNA, 258 nt
Filed under: uncultured bacterium
Lineage: Bacteria
Description: partial 16S ribosomal RNA
Rfam family: Bacterial small subunit ribosomal RNA
Source: RNAcentral